UUUUCUUUUUCAGUUGCAGGAAUUUAGCCAAUUCAGAGGUCUUGUUCUCCAUAAUUUGGAAUUUUCCUUCGGAUUUGAUCAAGUUGGAUAGAGUUGGUCAAACCCAAUGGGAAAAAGAUGAAAACAACAAGAAACAGAAACAAACAGCAACAACAACAACAACAAAAACAGACCCCACACCUCCAGACCCUGCUGAGGGAGGGCCACCCAUUUCUAGUCCCAGCUCCUACUCUAACUAUCUGUGUGACCUUAAACAAGGCCUUUCCCCUCUCUGGCCUCAGUAUCCGCCUCUGAAUAAUGGGGCUGGGCCUGCCGACCUUCUGGCCCUUUUCUGCUCUGUGAGUUUGUGAACUUGUGAUAGGGAGACAGGAGUCCUAGGAAGGAAAUGGAACUGGUGAUAGGGAGACAAGAGUCCUAGGAAGGAAAUGGAACUUGUGAUAGGGAGACAAGAGUCCU
This 456-nucleotide long non-coding RNA is filed under the name Homo sapiens (human). RNAcentral describes it as "non-protein coding lnc-GGCT-1:18". Lineage: Eukaryota; Metazoa; Chordata; Mammalia; Primates; Hominidae. The record is from RNAcentral.